Molecule: ribosomal RNA, 565 nt
Filed under: uncultured bacterium
Lineage: Bacteria
Description: bacterial SSU rRNA
Rfam family: Bacterial small subunit ribosomal RNA
Source: RNAcentral
AUUGAACGCUGGCGGCAUGCCUUACACAUGCAAGUCGAACGGUAACGCGGGGCAACCUGGCGACGAGUGGCGAACGGGUGAGUAAUGCAUCGGAACGUGCCCAGUAGUGGGGGAUAGCCCGGCGAAAGCCGGAUUAAUACCGCAUACGACCUACGGGUGAAAGCGGGGGAUCGCAAGACCUCGCGCUAUUGGAGCGGCCGAUGUCGGAUUAGCUAGUUGGUGGGGUAAAGGCCUACCAAGGCUACGAUCCGUAGCUGGUCUGAGAGGACGACCAGCCACACUGGGACUGAGACACGGCCCCAGACUCCUACGGGAGGCAGCAGUGGGGAAUUUUGGGACAAUGGGCGCAAGCCUGAUCCAGCCAUGCCGCGUGCGGGAAGAAGGCCUCGGGUUGUAAACCGCUUUUGUCAGGGAAAGAAACGGUCUGAGUUAAUACCUCGGACUAAUGACGGUACCUGAAGAAUAAGCACCGGCUAACUACGUGCCAGCAGCCGCGGUAAUACGUAGGGGUGCAAGCGUUAAUCGGAAUUACUGGGCGUAAAGCGUGCGCAGGCGGCUUUCGCAA